UUCCAGAAUUGUCAGGAAAUGGGACUUAC
This 29-nucleotide non-coding RNA is filed under the name Macaca fascicularis (crab-eating macaque). RNAcentral also lists the same sequence under 1 other name. Lineage: Eukaryota; Metazoa; Chordata; Mammalia; Primates; Cercopithecidae. The record is from RNAcentral.